UUAAAUUGAAGAGUUUGAUCAUGGCUCAGAUUGAACGCUGGCGGCAGGCCUAACACAUGCAAGUCGAGCGGUAGCACAGAGAGCUUGCUCUCGGGUGACGAGCGGCGGACGGGUGAGUAAUGUCUGGGAAACUGCCUGAUGGAGGGGGAUAACUACUGGAAACGGUAGCUAAUACCGCAUAACGUCGCAAGACCAA
This 196-nucleotide ribosomal RNA is filed under the name Klebsiella quasipneumoniae. Its description in RNAcentral is "16S rRNA. Bacterial SSU". It matches the Rfam family "Bacterial small subunit ribosomal RNA", at positions 1 to 204 of the family's 1533-position model. The record is from RNAcentral. Lineage: Bacteria; Pseudomonadati; Pseudomonadota; Gammaproteobacteria; Enterobacterales; Enterobacteriaceae.